RNAcentral lists this ribosomal RNA (412 nucleotides) under Apanteles canarsiae. RNAcentral's name for it is "partial 16S large subunit ribosomal RNA". The record is from RNAcentral. Lineage: Eukaryota; Metazoa; Arthropoda; Insecta; Hymenoptera; Braconidae.
AAGAAAUUUAAUUUUAAGUCAAAUCUGCUCAAUGAAUUAUUAUUUAAAUAGCUGCAGUAAAAAUAACUGUACAAAGGUAGCAUAAUAAUUUGUUUUUUAAUUUAAAACUAGAAUGAAUGAUUUAAUGAAAUAUAAACUGUUUCAAAUUUAAUUUAUAAAAUUAUUAUUUAAGUAAAAAAACUUAAAUUAAUUUUAAAGACGAGAAGACCCUAAAGAAUUUUUAUAUUUAAUUUUUAUACUAAUAUUAAAAAUUAAAUAAUUUAAUUGGGGAAAUUUUAAAAUUUAAUUAAUUUUUAUUUAAAAUCAAACAAUUAUUUUUGAAUCAAUAAUAUUUUUUAAAAAAAAUAAAUUAAAUUACCUUAGGGAUAACAGCAUAAUUUUAAUUUAAAGUUCAAAUUAAAAUUAAAGUUUA